GAUGAAGAACGCAGCGAAAUGCGAUACGUAAUGUGAAUUGCAGAAUUCAGUGAAUCAUCGAGUCUUUGAACGCACAUUGCGCCCCCUGGUAUUCCGGGGGGCAUGCCUGUCCGAGCGUCAUUGCUGCCCUCAAGCACGGCUUGUGUGUUGGGCCUCCGUCCUCCUCCCGGGGGACGGGCCCGAAAGGCACCGGCGGCACCGCGUCCGGUCCUCGAGCGUAUGGGGCUUCGUCACCCGCUCUUGUAGGCCCGGCCGGCGCUUGCCGACACAUCAAUCUUUUUUCCAGGUUGACCUCGGAUCAGGUAGGGAUACCCGCUGAACUUAAGCAUAUCAAUAAGCGGAGGA
RNAcentral lists this unclassified non-coding RNA (345 nucleotides) under soil metagenome. RNAcentral describes it as "partial contains 5.8S ribosomal RNA, internal transcribed spacer 2, and large subunit ribosomal RNA". The stretch from base 1 to 120 matches the Rfam family "5.8S ribosomal RNA", at positions 35 to 154 of the family's 154-position model. The record is from RNAcentral.